Molecule: ribosomal RNA, 365 nt
Filed under: uncultured bacterium
Lineage: Bacteria
Description: bacterial SSU rRNA
Rfam family: Bacterial small subunit ribosomal RNA
Source: RNAcentral
GUAAUACGUAGGGGGCGAGCGUUGUCCGGAUUUACUGGGCGUAAAGGGUGAGUAGGCGGUUAUAUAUGUCAGGUGUAAAAAGCUAUGGCUUAACCAUAGUAAGCACUUGAAACUGUAUGACUUGAGUGCAGGAGAGGUAAGCGGAAUUCCUAGUGUAGCGGUGAAAUGCGUAGAUAUUAGGAGGAACACCGGUGGCGAAGGCGGCUUACUGGACUGUAACUGACGCUGAGUCACGAAAGCGUGGGUAGCAAACAGGAUUAGAUACCCUGGUAGUCCACGCCGUAAACGAUGAGUGCCUAGGUGUUGGGCAGCAAUGCUCAGUGCCGAAGUADDCACAAUAAGCACUCCGCCUGGGGAGUACGUAC